AUAUGCUUAUCGAAACCGGAAAUAGCUGGCUCUCUCCGAAAUAUAUUUAGGUAUAGCGUCAGAUGGUGGUUUGUGGGGGUAGAGCUACUGGAUGAAUGUUUUGGCCCUUGGGCCAGGCAUUUAACCAAACUCCGAAUACCGCAAACUUAAUCUGGCAGUCAGUCCGACCGGGCUAAGCUGGCCGGGCGAGAGGGAAAGACCCCAGACUUCCGUAUAAGGUCUCUAAAUCUAUGUUAAGUGGGAAAGGAAGUGAUUCACCAUAGACAGUCAGGAGGUUGGCUUAGAAGCAGCCAUCCUUUAAAGAAAGCGUAAUAGCUCACUGAUCGAUAUUGGUAGAUUGCGCCUAAAAUGUAAGGAGGCUCAAACAUAGUACCGAAGACGGAGAUUUUCGAUUUAUCGAAAAUGGUAGGAGAGCGUUCUGGCUACAGUGAAGCCGAGGUGUAAACCGAGGUGGAGUUGCCAGAAGUGAGAAUGCAGGCAUGAGUAACGUAAUUCCGAUGAGAAUUCGGAACACCGAAUACCCGAGGUUUCCUCAGCUACGUUGUUCGUCUGAGGGUUAGGCGAUCCUAACAUGAACCCCGUUUAAGCGGGGUUAGUGGAUGGAUAACCGGUUAAUAUUCCGGUCCUUUUUAUAAAUCGUUUUAAGUUGGGGCGGGACAACAUAUGGUAGGUCCAGUGUCAGAGUGAUUUGACAUCUAAGUAUUUAGCAAGAAAGUGUAGGAAAAUCCGCAUUUUCGUUAUUAAGCGAGAUACGAAUGAAAGUCUGACGCAAGUCGGGCAAUUGGGUUGAUCUAUGUGUUUCAAAAAAGCGUCGCAAAUAGAUUUAUAAGAAUUCGUACCGAAAACCGACACUGGUGGGUAGGUCGAGUAGACUAAGGUGUUUGGGAGAAAGAUGGUUAAGGAACUCAGCAAAUUAUCUGGGCGUAAGCUAUGCGAUAUGCCCUGCCCGGCGUAAAAACCGGGCUACAACAAAAGACUACACGGCGACUGUUUAUCAAAAACACAGGUCUCUGCAAACCCGUAAGGGGAAGUAUAGGGGCUGAAGCCUGACCAGUGCCAGAAGGUUAAAUGAGCGGGUUUUUAUCAAUUUAUUGGUAUCUGCCUGUGAUUGAAGCCCUGGUGAACGUCAGCAGUAACUCUAACUGUUCUAAGGUAGCGAAGUCCUUUGUCGGGUAAGUUCCGACCCGUAUGAAAGGUCCAACGACCGUGUAACUGUCUUAACCAUUUACCCAGUGAAAUUGAAAGAGCGGUGAAGAUGCCGUUUAAUUACUGUAGGACAAAAAGACCCCAUGAAGCUUUACUGGAUCUUUACAUUGACAAAAAAAUAAUGAUUGUCGAGAAUAGGAGGGAGCGCUUGCGCAAUAGUGGAAUACCUCUCUUUAUUAUUUUUGAGUCUAACUUUCUUUGACGGAUAUCAAAGGAGGACAGUGUAUGGUUGCCAGUUUGCCUGGGGCAGGCGCCUGCUAAAAAGUAACGCGGGCACACAAAGGUUGACUUAGUCCGGCUGGAAAUCGGACAGUAAGUGCAAAAGCAAAAGUCAGCUUGACUGCGAGACAUACUAGUCGAGGUCCAGCAUUUGGUUGGACCCCCAAAUCUUUAAGGUUUGGGGCAGGGUCGAAAGACGGUUUUAGUGAUCCUCGUGACCCAUUUGGUAUGGGCACGGGCUUAUUGGAUAAAAGCUACUCUGGGGAUAACAGGCUGGUCGCAUCCGAUAGUUCAUAUUGACGAUGCGGUUCGGCACCUCGAUGUCGACUUGGCGCAUCCUGGCCCUGAAGAAGGGGCCAAGGGUUGGUCUGUUCGCCCAUUAAAGCGCUGCGUUAGUUGGGUUCAGAGCGUCGCGAGACAGCUCGGUCUCUAUCCACAGUAAUCGUUUGAUUCUUGAGGGAAUUCAUCUACAGUACGAGAGGACCUAGAUGAGGAAACCGCUGGUGUGCCAGUUGUUCUGUCAAGAGCAUUGCUGGGUAGCCACAUUUCUAUAGGAUAACUGCUGAAAGCAUCUCAAGCAGGAAACCGACCCCAAGAUAAGGAAUCGAUUCCCACUUCGGUGGGAGAAAGAUCGCCGGGAGACUACCGGUUAAUACUUUACAUGUGUAAGCCCCGUAAGGGGUUAAGCUAAGUAAAGGAUACGAUUGAAAAAUCUUUUUG
Molecule: ribosomal RNA, 2145 nt
Filed under: metagenome
Description: bacterial LSU rRNA
Rfam family: Bacterial large subunit ribosomal RNA
Source: RNAcentral